CAGAUUGAACGCUGGCGGCAUGCCUUACACAUGCAAGUCGAACGGCAGCACGGGGGCAACCCUGGUGGCGAGUGGCGAACGGGUGAGUAAUACAUCGGAACGUACCUGGAAGUGGGGGAUAACGUAGCGAAAGUUACGCUAAUACCGCAUAUUCUGUGAGCAGGAAAGCAGGGGACCGCAAGGCCUUGCGCUUUUGGAGCGGCCGAUGUCGGAUUAGCUGGUUGGUGGGGUAAAGGCCUACCAAGGCGACGAUCCGUAGCGGGUCUGAGAGGAUGAUCCGCCACACUGGGACUGGGACACGGCCCAGACUCCUACGGGAGGCAGCAGUGGGGAAUUUUGGACAAUGGGCGCAAGCCUGAUCCAGCCAUGCCGCGUGAGUGAAGAAGGCCUUCGGGUUGUAAAGCUCUUUCGGUGGGGAAGAAAUCGCAUUCUUUAAUAGAGGGUGUGGAUGACGGUACCCACAUAAGAAGCACCGGCUAACUACGUGCCAGCAGCCGCGGUAAUACGUAGGGUGCGAGCGUUAAUCGGAAUUACUGGGCGUAAAGCGUGCGCAGGCGGUUGUGUAAGUCAGAUGUGAAAUCCCCGGGCUCAACCUGGGAACUGCAUUUGAGACUGCACGGCUAGAGUGUGGCAGAGGGGGGUGGAAUUCCACGUGUAGCAGUGAAAUGCGUAGAGAUGUGGAGGAACACCGAUGGCGAAGCAGCCCCCUGGGCCGAGACUGACGCUCAUGCACGAAAGCGUGGGGAGCAAACAGGAUUAGAUACCCUGGUAGUCCACGCCCUAAACGAUGUCAACUAGAUGUUGGAAGGGUUAAACCUUUUAGUGUCGCAGCUAACGCGUGAAGUUGACCGCCUGGGGAGUACGGCCGCAAGGCUAAAACUCAAAGGAAUUGACGGGGACCCGCACAAGCGGUGGAUGAUGUGGAUUAAUUCGAUGCAACGCGAAAAACCUUACCUACCCUUGACAUGUCAGGAACCCUGGAGAGAUCUGGGGGUGCCCGAAAGGGAGCCUGAACACAGGUGUUGCAUGGCUGUCGUCAGCUCGUGUCGUGAGAUGUUGGGUUAAGUCCCGCAACGAGCGCAACCCUUGUCGUUAAUUGCCAUCAUUGAGUUGGGCACUUUAAUGAGACUGCCGGUGACAAACCGGAGGAAGGUGGGGAUGACGUCAAGUCCUCAUGGCCCUUAUGGGUAGGGCCUCACACGUCAUACAAUGGUCGGUUCAGAGGGUUGCCAAGCCGCGAGGCGGAGCUAAUCUCAGAAAGCCGAUCGUAGUCCGGAUUGCAGUCUGCAACUCGACUGCAUGAAGUCGGAAUCGCUAGUAAUCGCGGAUCAGCAUGCCGCGGUGAAUACGUUCCCGGGUCUUGUACACACCGCCCGUCACACCAUGGGAGCGGGUUCUGCCAGAAGUAGUUAGCCUAACCGUGAGGAGGGCGAUUACCACGGCAGGGUUCGUGACUGGGGUGAAGUCGAAACAAGGUA
Molecule: ribosomal RNA, 1478 nt
Filed under: metagenome
Description: bacterial SSU rRNA
Rfam family: Bacterial small subunit ribosomal RNA
Source: RNAcentral